Molecule: unclassified non-coding RNA, 417 nt
Filed under: Hevea brasiliensis (rubber tree)
Lineage: Eukaryota; Viridiplantae; Streptophyta; Magnoliopsida; Malpighiales; Euphorbiaceae
Source: RNAcentral
AUCCCCUGCGUCCAGGAUCUCCAGGUCUCCAAUAAUCAGGAAACUGGAAGGCAAUCUUACAAUAGAUCAUCAAAGCUCCAAAACUUCACUUAUGACCAUUACAAAAUGGAAUAGAAUAUGCCAUGGUUAAUUUCCUUUGAUUACAUGAUAGUAUAGCCUAUCUCCUUUGCUCUAUGGACUACCAGAGUACCAGUACAUAUAUCCCUUCGGAGAAACAAUUCUUGCGGUCAGAUUGGCAACGCUCGAGUGUUAUCAGAGUAUAUAUCUUGUCAUCAUAUGACAGCCAACCAUAUCCACGACCCAUCUCUCCCAUCACCUGAACAGCCAACACUGACGUUGUGCGAAAACUACCAAUGUGUACUUGGAUACAUUUCAAGUUUCUUUUGUUUGAAAAAAUAAUGACUCGGAAGCCCUUCG